AGUGAACGCUGGCGGUAGGCCUAACACAUGCAAGUCGAACGGCAGCACAGUAAGAGCUUGCUCUUACGGGUGGCGAGUGGCGGACGGGUGAGGAAUACAUCGGAAUCUACUUUUUCGUGGGGAUAACGUAGGGAAACUUACGCUAAUACCGCAUACGACCUACGGGUGAAAGCAGGGGAUCUUCGGACCUUGCGCGAUUGAAUGAGCCGAUGUCGGAUUAGCUAGUUGGCGGGGUAAAGGCCCACCAAGGCGACGAUCCGUAGCUGGUCUGAGAGGAUGAUCAGCCACACUGGAACUGAGACACGGUCCAGACUCCUACGGGAGGCAGCAGUGGGGAAUAUUGGACAGUGGGCGCAAGCCUGAUCCAGCCAUACCGCGUGGGUGAAGAAGGCCUUCGGGUUGUAAAGCCCUUUUGUUGGGAAAGAAAAGCAGCAGGUUAAUACCCCGCUGUUCUGACGGUACCCAAAGAAUAAGCACCGGCUAACUUCGU
RNAcentral lists this ribosomal RNA (490 nucleotides) under uncultured bacterium. Its description in RNAcentral is "partial 16S ribosomal RNA". It matches the Rfam family "Bacterial small subunit ribosomal RNA", at positions 29 to 506 of the family's 1533-position model. The record is from RNAcentral.